Molecule: long non-coding RNA, 200 nt
Organism: Gadus chalcogrammus (walleye pollock)
Lineage: Eukaryota; Metazoa; Chordata; Actinopteri; Gadiformes; Gadidae
Exons: 3
Source: RefSeq, a predicted model, not a curated record
CUGGGGGAAGGAGACAUGUUCCCCGCCCGGGCUUUGGUCCGGGCUCAUGAAAGGCCUGGACAAACGAAGCGGGCCAUUCAAGGCAAUUGGAACAUUCUGAGGGAGUGGAAAGAGAGGUGUGAGCAACUCAGCAGUGGGCUGAACAGCUGGGCUCACAGACAUCAGCUUCAAGGUAAAAAAAGGCUUUUUUUAGAGCAGUU